This 5009-nucleotide long non-coding RNA is filed under the name Nicotiana benthamiana. Its description in RNAcentral is "long non-coding RNA (NBEN_LNC038123)". Lineage: Eukaryota; Viridiplantae; Streptophyta; Magnoliopsida; Solanales; Solanaceae. The record is from RNAcentral.
AUACAAUUCAGAGUAAACACAAAUAGAGUCCUAAGGCAGGAUUUCUAAUGCAAGGAAAGAGACCAUCAUUUUAUUAAGCUUGAUUAUAGUAAUAACUUAAUGAUGGGGGUUUCUAAAUGAUUACGAAUUUAGGCAGAAUCAGAAUUAACAUGUUUCCUAAUAUGCAAAGUAGUGAACAUGAUUAUCCUAAGGCAGGAUAUCUAAUGCACAUGUUUAUAACAUAGUUUUAAUACAAAUAGGCAUAGUAAACUAGAGGCAUGAUAUCUAUUGCAAAAUGUAAACAUGGUAUAAACCUAAUAGCAUGAUUUCUACUCUAAAUCAAUAUAUAUAAACCUAAAAGCAUGAUUUCUACUCGAUUUUCCCAGAAAAAAUGUUGUAUGAACCCUCUCCUUUUUAUUAAUUACCCCAAUAUUUGUUUACAAAUAAUAUUAUAACAGGUCAGGAUUAGAUGAAUUACAUAGAUGAAUGAAACUAUAGUAUAUGGAGCCUGAAUCUGACCCAAAUUAAACUUGGGAAUGCCGGGCUUUCAAUACAAUCUCAUAAGCCAAAGAUCUUACAGCCAAUAGUGUGUCUUGGCACGUCAGCGUUCCUUAAGGACCUCAAGGAUCUCGAGAAGUGCUCACACUAAGACCUUUCUCAAAUAGAGGAUUGGUUAUGUGCACUGUGGAAGGGCCAAUCCUGUUAUGCUAGAGUUUAGAGAAAUCUCAAGGAUCUUUAAGAAGUACACACAUCAGAGGGACAAAACCUAAUAGUCUAAGAGUGAAGUGAGUAGUGCAUGAUAUAGCUUUUAAAAGAUUUAGUAGAAAAUAGUGCAGAGACAAUUUCAAAAGUGAAAAGAAUUUCAGAAAUUGAAAACAACUUUAAGAAGAUGCUAGAAGUGACUAGUUUAAGUAGAAUACUAAGAGUAGAAGAACAAUUUUGAAAUCAGUUCUGAGGAGAGCAAAUUUAGCAAAUGACCAAUUAAUCAAAGAAUACACGGAUUCACAGAUACUUAACCAACAGAUUUACAAACACGGCUGAAAGGGAUUGGGAACAUAUAGAGUUGAAACCACAUAAAUAGUAAAAUAAUUGAGACAAAAAGGAAGUCGUAUAUGGGGGGGCAGGUUCAUAGUUAUGCUUUACCUGGUAGCCUCGAGGUUGUUUCAUUAGAUAUUGUUAUUACAAGUAUUGUUUCAAUAUAUCAUAGGAAUACAUCUAUUUUAUUUAAUCCGGGUUUCACUUAUUCGUAUGUGUUAUACUAUUUUGCUUCAUAUUUUACAUGUUUCGUGAUUCUUUGAGUAAUACCGUUUAUGUGUUUACAACCGUUGGGGAUUCUAUUGUGGUAGACUGGGCUUAUCAUACUUUUUUUUGUAACUGUUGGGGGCUAUGAGACUAUUGUUGACCUUCUGUUACCUAAUAUGGUUGAUUUUGAUAUGAUUUUGUUAUAGAUUGGUUGUCACCAUAUCACACAAUUCUUCAUUGUCAUGCUAUGAUCGCGAUGUUGGCUAUGCUGGGUUUGCCAAGGUUGAAGUGAAGAGGUUCAUUGGCUCAUGUUCCUAGUAGGGUAGGUUCUUUUCUGAAGGCUCAAUUGAUGAUUGAGAAGGGAUGAUUGGCAUAUUCAGCCUUUAUGAGGGAUAUUAGUGAUGAUACUCCUACCAUUAAGUCAGUUCCGGUACCGAGGGAGUUUUCAUAUAUGUUCUCAGUAGACCUACCGUGCAUGCCACCCGAUAGGGAUAUUAAUUUUUGUAUUAACUUGGUGUCGGGCACUUAUCCCAUGUUUAUUCCAAUAUAUCGCAUGGCACUAGUGAAGUUGAAGGAAUUGAAGGAACAUCUUCAGGAGUUACUUGAUAAGAGUUUUAUUAGAUCUAGUGUCUCACCUUGGGGUGCUCUAAUUUUUUUGUUAAAAAGAAGGAUGGUUCUAUGAUUAUGUGUGUUGACUAUAGGCAGCUGAACAAGGUUACCAUAAAAAAUAAGUACCCAUUACUGCAUAUUGAUGAUUUAUUUAAUCAACUUGAGGGUUUUAGGCAUUCUCAAAGAUUGACUUGAUAUCGGGGAACCAUCGGUUAAAUAUCUGGGUUUCACAUAUUCGGAAGACGGCUUUUAGGUCUCGCUAUGGUCACUAUGAGUUCAUAGUGAUGUCUUUUGGUCUAACCAAUGACCUAGCAACUUUCAUGUGCUUGGUGAAUAACAUGUUUCAGCUGUAUCUGGAUUCCUUCGUCAUUGUAUUUGUUGAUGAUAUAUUAGUGUAUUGUCGCAUCUAAGAGGAGCAUGAACAUCACUUGAGAAUCAUGCUCCAGACAUUGAGGGAGAAGAAGCUAUAUUCUAAAUUUUCUAAGUGCGAGUUUUGGUUAGAUUCAGUGGAAUUCUCGGGCCAUAUGGUGUCCAAUGAGGCGAUUAAGGUGGAUCUGAAGAAGAUUGAGGCCGUUGAGAGUUGGCCCCGACCUAGGUUUGGCUAGGUAUUAUCGUUGUUUCUUGGAGGGUCUCUCAUCCAUUAUAGCUCUUUUGACUUGAUUGACUAAGAAAGUCCUUUUAGGUUGUCUGACAAGUGUGAGGAGAGCCUUCAGAAGCUCAAGACUUCCUUGGCUACAACUCCAGUUCUAGUUUUGCCUUCAACAUCAGGUUCAUACACAGUCUAUUGUAAUGCUUAACAGAUUGGCAUUGGAUGCGUUCUGAUGCAGGAGGGCCGAGUGAUUGCUUAUGUUUCACGAUAGUUGAAGCCCAUGAGAAGAACUACUAAGUAAAAAAUUUGGAGUUAACAACCCUCGUUCAAAUACUAAAUAUUUAGAGGCAUUAUUUUUUCUUUACGACGUGUCUUAUGAGGUGUUCACAUAUCACAGGAGUCUUCAACACCAAUUCAAACAAAAAGAUCUGAACUUGAGGCAACAUAGGUGGUUAGAGCUAUAGGACUAUGAUGUCACCAUUCGUUAUCAUCCCAGGAAGGCCUAUGUGGUGGUUGAUGCUUUGUGUAGGAAGGUUGAGAGAAUACGGAGUCUUGCUUUUAUUUCUGUGGGGGAGAGACCGUUAGUGUAGGAUGUUCAGUCUUUGGCCAAUAGGUUUGUGAGGUUAGAUAUAUUAGAGCCUAGCAAGGUUCUUGCUUGAAUGGUUUCAUGGUCGUCAUUUUUAGGGCACCAAGGCACGUGUAUAUGAUGAUCUCCACUUUAUUGUCCUCAAAGACACGGUGCAAUAGGGGGAUGCCAUGGAGGUGACUAUUUGUGAUGAUGGGAUGUUGAAGCUUCAGGUUUGGAUUUGUAUGCCUCAUGUGGAUGGAUUGUGGGAGCUGAAUCUUUCUUAGGCCCCUAGUUCAUGGUAGUCCAUUAAUUUGGGCAACGACAAGAUGUACCACAAUUUGAAGCUGCAGUACUGGUGCAGAUGAAUGAAGAAAGAUAUUGUGGAGUAUGUGGGUUGGUGUUUGAAUUAUCAACAUGUUGAGUAUGAACAUCAGCGACCAGGCGGUUCGCUUUAGAGGCUUGAUAUUCUUGAGUGAAAGUGGAAGCGUAUCACCAUGAAUUUUUGUGGCUGGGUUGCCAGGAACCUUGAGAAAAUUUAAACUGUGAUGGUCAUUGUGGACAGACUGACCAAGUCUGCACACUUCAUUCCAGUCAUGACUACCUUCUCUUUAGAGCAACUAGCUCAAAUAUAUUUUCGUGAGAUUGUUCUCCUUCAUGGUGUACCGACGUCCAUUAUCUCGAAUCGCGACACGUAGUUUAAAUCAGUUUUUGGAGAGUCGUGUAGUGUGGUUUGGGAACAUACGUGGAGCUGAGUACAAUAUUUCAUCCUUAGACGGAUAAACAGUAUGAGCGCACUAUUCAGAUUUUGGAGGACAUGUUAUGUAACUGUGUCAUUGAUUCUCAUGGAAUCAAUUUCUACUGCUAGCAAAGUUUGCCUACAGUUACAAUUAUGAGUAUAGCAUCCAUAAGGAUUCGUACGAGGCAUUAUACGGAAGGCAGUGCCAUUCUCUUGUUGGUUGGUUUGAGCCUGGGGAGGCUAGGUUAUUGGGCACUGAUCUAGUUCAUUAUUUCUCUGGAGGAGGUGAAAUUGAUUCAGGAUCAACUACUUACACCAUAGUUCAGGUAGAAGAGUUACGCGGAUAGAAGGGCUCGUGAUGUGGAAUUUAUGAUGGGUGAGAAGGUUCUACUCCGAGUUCCGCCCGUGGGUGUGAUGAGGUUCAUGAUAGAUUAAAAUCCAAAUAACCAAACCCAAAAUCAUAUGAGAAUGUGACAAAAAUUUUCAGCAAAGGACAUUCAAAACAGCUUUCAACACCAAAUUACUGCUGCAAUUUUCAGUAAACUCACAAAUCAACAUGACUCUAGUGAGCAAACUUUGACAAAAUAAAGGCUAAAUUAAACCGGAAACCACAGCUCUUGAAGUACUACAUUGAAAAAUUAUUGAGCCCUAACAAAUUUGCUAUUUCAAAAUAGGCCAAGUAAUCAGAAUCGAAAUAUAAACUCAACCCAUAGAAAUCGUAUAGCAGCAGAACAGGAAAGGGAAAUGACAUGAGAAAAUUCCAAUUAUUCCAACAACAGAAGUGUUUCACAGAUGCGUACCUAAAUUUGAAAGCAACAAAUCGAUUGAACCCAACAAAAGUCGGAUAAGCACAAAUGGAGCUUCAGCAACAAAUUGAAAGGAGAACAGCAACAAAACAACAACCAAAAUAAACGAGUUCCAGCAAACCUAGAUGAAUAGAUACCAAAUUUCAGGGAAAUCAAAGCCAACCUUUAAAUUCCAACUUCUCUUUUUUUUUUUGAAUUUUGUUUGAAACUUUUUCCUCUUUUCGGAUUCUUAAGAUCUCCUCUUCAAUUCAGAAUGUCUGUGCGUGUUAGUGGGAUAAGAGUAGGUAGGAGGGCUCCUCCACUUUUGCCUGUGUUCUCUGCAUGUGUUCUUUUUGUAGAAAAAUGAAGAUGAAGAGCGAAGAAGAGGGGACUGCAGAUUUUUCGUGUUCUAGCCCUCGCUCUGAUUUUUUUUCUUCUUCGUGGAGCUCUUUUUUAUCUCCAGCACAAGAAGAAAGUCUAGAAGGGGUCACGCAUUUUGCG